This 253-nucleotide ribosomal RNA is filed under the name uncultured bacterium. RNAcentral describes it as "partial 16S ribosomal RNA". It matches the Rfam family "Bacterial small subunit ribosomal RNA", at positions 524 to 776 of the family's 1533-position model. The record is from RNAcentral.
UACGGGGGGGGCAAGCGUUGUUCGGAAUUACUGGGCGUAAAGAGCGUGUAGGCGGCCAGGUAGGUCGGUUGUGAAAACUGGAGGCUCAACCUUCAGAGGUCGACCGAAACCAUCUGGCUAGAGUCCGGGAGAGGAGAGUGGAAUUCCUGGUGUAGCGGUGAAAUGCGCAGAUAUCAGGAAGAACACCCGUGGCGAAAGCGGCUCUCUGGAACGGUACUGACGCUGAGACGCGAAAGCGUGGGGAGCGAACAGG